AUUUACUAAAAAUCAGGGAUUUGAUUUCAACGAAACUUCAUUUCCUCUCCCACUCUCUCUCUCACCAUUACUUCCACAAUCUCUUCUCCUCUUCUCUCACCGUUUUCUCCAAAAACCCUAACCGGCGCCCCACUCACCAUAAUUCUGCUCUUCUCUCUUCUCGAUGACUUUCUGGCGGUGAAGAAAACGAAGAAUCAGUCGAUUUGCUUCCACCACCAAUUUUCUCUCACCUCGACGACGAGUGGCUGAUCAGAGAAGAAGAAUUUCCAGUACAAAAUGUUGAACAAACGAGGCAGGUCGAAGAGUUAGCCUACUCAAACGACAAGUUGAACUUUGCUGAGGCACUCGAAAAGUAUAAGCUUCCUAAACUAGCCGAACAAGUGUGCAAAUGUGCAACCAAUCGCAUGAUAUUGUAGUGGAGAAACACAGUCAACCACACCGAGACAUGUGUGUAUUUGAUGCGGCAUAUGGAGACAUAUUUUGGCGCAUCACAGGAGGAAUGGGAUUGCGGUCUCACAUGUAAGGAGUUGAAGAGCUCGGCUAUGUUGAGGAUUAAGUACCAGCGCACAUUGCUGACUUGUACUCACAACACGAGGGCUGCAGUUAACCAGAACCAUGCAACGAGGCAUUGGAAAGAAAGGCCGGCUAAAUUCAACUUCAAAAAGUGGUUUGAAGAUUAUGGUUUGUGAGUAGGGAAUCUGUAUGAAACAAUUAGCAGUAUUUAGUUUCGUCAAGGAUUACAUUAGUCUAUUUGUAUAUUUUAUUUUUGUGGGAAGGAGCUGGAUAAUGUUUUGUGACACAAUGUGGUUGGUAGUACGUUGGUUUUUAUGUUGUUUUAAUUGAAAGUAUGAUGUACGUGAACCAGUAGUAAUGUACAAUAAUGUUGUUAGAAAUGUACAGUGAACAUAAAAUAAUGUACUAUUACACUUUAAAGAAGCAAUGACAAAAAUAUUAUACAAUAAAUAACUUCUACAUAA
Salvia splendens (bonfire salvia) is the source of this 977-nucleotide long non-coding RNA. RefSeq lists it as uncharacterized. Lineage: Eukaryota; Viridiplantae; Streptophyta; Magnoliopsida; Lamiales; Lamiaceae. The record is from RefSeq and is a predicted model, not a curated record. The transcript is spliced from 3 exons.